RNAcentral lists this ribosomal RNA (385 nucleotides) under uncultured bacterium. Its description in RNAcentral is "bacterial SSU rRNA". It matches the Rfam family "Bacterial small subunit ribosomal RNA", at positions 29 to 414 of the family's 1533-position model. The record is from RNAcentral.
AUUGAACGCUGGCGGCAUGCUUUACACAUGCAAGUCGAACGGUAACAGGGAGCUUGCUCCGCUGACGAGUGGCGAACGGGUGAGUAAUGCAUCGGAACGUACCCAGUCGUGGGGGAUAACGUAGCGAAAGUUACGCUAAUACCGCAUACGUCCCUGAGGGAGAAAGCGGGGGACCGUAAGGCCUCGCGCGAUUGGAGCGGCCGAUGUCGGAUUAGCUAGUUGGUAGGGUAAAGGCCUACCAAGGCGACGAUCCGUAGCGGGUCUGAGAGGAUGAUCCGCCACACUGGGACUGAGACACGGCCCAGACUCCUACGGGAGGCAGCAGUGGGGAAUUUUGGACAAUGGGCGAAAGCCUGAUCCAGCCAUGCCGCGUGAGUGAAGAAGG